Molecule: ribosomal RNA, 661 nt
Filed under: uncultured bacterium
Lineage: Bacteria
Description: bacterial SSU rRNA
Rfam family: Bacterial small subunit ribosomal RNA
Source: RNAcentral
AGAGUUUGAUCAUGGCUCAGAUUGAACGCUGGCGGCAUGCUUAAUACAUGCAAGUCGAACGGUAACAGGUCCUUCGGGAUGCUGACGAGUGGCGGACGGGUGAGUAAUGCAUAGGAAUCUGCCCAGUAGUAGGGGACAACCUGAGGAAACUCAGGCUAAUACCGUAUAAGUCCUACGGGAGAAAGGGGGCCUCUUCUUGAAAGCUCUCGCUAUUGGAUGAGCCUAUGUCGGAUUAGCUUGUUGGUGGGGUAACGGCCUACCAAGGCGAUGAUCCGUAGCUGGUCUGAGAGGACGAUCAGCCACACUGGGACUGAGACACGGCCCAGACUCCUACGGGAGGCAGCAGUAGGGAAUAUUGGACAAUGGGCGAAAGCCUGAUCCAGCAAUGCCGCGUGUGUGAAGAAGGCCUGCGGGUUGUAAAGCACUUUCAGUUGGGAAGAAAAUCUUUAGGUUAAUAUCCUAAAGUCUUGACGUUACCAACAGAAGAAGCACCGGCUAACUCUGUGCCAGCAGCCGCGGUAAUACAGAGGGUGCGAGCGUUAAUCGGAAUUACUGGGCGUAAAGCGUGCGUAGGCGGUUAAGUCAGUCGGAUGUGAAAGCCCAAGGCUUAACCUUGGAACGGCAUUCGAUACUGCUUAGCUAGAGUACAGUAGAGGGAAGC